CGGAGCGGGAGACGGGGAUCGAACCCGCGACCUUCAGCUUGGGAAGCUGAUGCUCUGCCACUGAGCUACUCCCGC
Molecule: transfer RNA, 75 nt
Filed under: Salinibacter ruber M8
Lineage: Bacteria; Pseudomonadati; Rhodothermota; Rhodothermia; Rhodothermales; Salinibacteraceae
Source: RNAcentral